UGGGGAAUAUUGCACAAUGGGUGCAAGCCUGAUGCAGCCAUGCCGCGUGUAUGAAGAAGGCCUUCGGGUUGUAAAGUACUUUCAGCGAGGAGGAAGGCGUUGUGGUUAAUAACCGCAGCGAUUGACGUUACUCGCAGAAGAAGCACCGGCUAACUCCGUGCCAGCAGCCGCGGUAAUACGGAGGGUGCAAGCGUUAAUCGGCAUUACUGGGCGUAAAGCGCACGCAGGCGGUCUGUCAAGUCGGAUGUGAAAUCCCCGGGCUCAACCUGGGAACUGCAUCCGAAACUGGCAGGCUAGAGUCUUGUAGAGGGGGGUAGAAUUCCAGGUGUAGCGGUGAAAUGCGUAGAGAUCUGGAGGAAUACCGGUGGCGAAGGCGGCCCCCUGGACAAAGACUGACGCUCAGGUGCGAAAGCGUGGGGAGCAAACA
RNAcentral lists this ribosomal RNA (427 nucleotides) under uncultured bacterium. Its description in RNAcentral is "partial 16S ribosomal RNA". It matches the Rfam family "Bacterial small subunit ribosomal RNA", at positions 355 to 774 of the family's 1533-position model. The record is from RNAcentral.